Molecule: long non-coding RNA, 1129 nt
Filed under: Marmota monax (woodchuck)
Lineage: Eukaryota; Metazoa; Chordata; Mammalia; Rodentia; Sciuridae
Source: RNAcentral
GCCCGGCCCGCGCCUGGGCGCCGCGGGGGUCGGCCUGACUGCGCGCGGCCCUGCGGGAACCGGGCCGCCGCGCUCCCGCCGGCUGGGCCGCAAAGGUUCCUUGAGGCCGGCCACCUCUUUUUAAGAGGCGGCGGGCCGCGGCCGGAGCGGCUCGGUGGCUGCGUGCGGCCCUGGAAGGGGGCGGGGGCGCUGUGCAGGCCCGAGCGCGGCAAUGAUUGGUCUCGGGGGAGGGGUGGGGGGUUGCAAACCCGGGGAGCGGUGGCAUCCGUUGCAUGAUGCAAAAAAGGAUUGAUUUCAAAAGUUGCGAGUUGCAUUGGCAGCAGCCUGGGGCGUCGUGUCCACCUCCUUUUCCCGACCCGCUGGAAAAGCCAGGAGUGAUUUCCUCAACCUGGCCGGGCUCGACCGCGCUGCACCAGCGGGACGCAGUACCUGCUCCUCAAACGCUGCGGUUGAAGUGUGCUGGAAGACAAUGACCAUGGAAACAAUUUGCAGAGUGUAGGAGCCGAGGAAAAGCCGCCUCUGCUCCAGUGAAAGAUUUGAAAACAUAAACGGCGCGUUUGAGUCUCAUUGACUCCCAUCAUCUCCUCCACCUAUUGUUUACCCCGGAGUUCAUUGGAGCCUCAGUGAAAUAUGCAAAUUCCCUGCAAAGUUUCUUGAACAUUUUAAUAUGCUUGGUAGGAAGUUUGGGGGGAAAGCUUAAGGUUCCCCAGGUACAUCAUUUUCUUAUUCACAUGUCCCUGGAAACAUGGCAGCUUACUCCUGUAUGUGCUUGAAGUGACAUCAGUGAGGCAGCUUCACCUCAUGAAAUUGAAAAAAACUUUUCAGGUUUUCGACUUUCUAAUGCAUUGUGGAUGUAAAUAAAGUAAAAUUUGUCGGUGCAAUGUCUUUUAGGGCUUCCCUUAAAACUUUGCAGGGUAGAGCAAUGCCAUACCAAAGUUUUGGGAGUCUGUCAGCAUUUUCCGAAUUAUUUUGGAGCAAUGGAACAAGGCUUUAUGGGUGCUUUCAGGUUUUCACAUUACAGAGUUGUCCUUUUUCUUCUUGAAAUGCUUGGGAGCUACCUAAGGUUUUAAUCUAGGUGUGGAUGCAGAAGUGAUGCCACUUCCAAGACUGGGUGGAUGCAAGCUCCUCC